UACGUAGGGAGCGAGCGUUGUCCGGAUUUACUGGGUGUAAAGGGUGCGUAGGCGGCUUCGCAAGUCAGUAGUGAAAUCCAUGGGCUUAACCCAUGAACUGCUAUUGAAACUGUGGAGCUUGAGUGAAGUAGAGGUAGGCGGAAUUCCCGGUGUAGCGGUGAAAUGCGUAGAGAUCGGGAGGAACACCAGUGGCGAAGGCGGCCUACUGGGCUUUAACUGACGCUGAGGCACGAAAGCGUGGGUAGCAA
RNAcentral lists this ribosomal RNA (248 nucleotides) under uncultured Ruminiclostridium sp. RNAcentral's name for it is "partial 16S ribosomal RNA". It matches the Rfam family "Bacterial small subunit ribosomal RNA", at positions 524 to 771 of the family's 1533-position model. The record is from RNAcentral. Lineage: Bacteria; Bacillati; Bacillota; Clostridia; Eubacteriales; Oscillospiraceae.